CAUCUUAGUGGCGGACGGGUGAGUAACGCGUGGGUAACCUGCCUUAUACAGGGGGAUAACACUUAGAAAUAGGUGCUAAUACCGCAUAAGCGCACGGGGCUGCAUGGCCCAGUGUGAAAAACUCCGGUGGUAUAAGAUGGACCCGCGUCUGAUUAGCUUGUUGGCGGGGUAACGGCCCACCAAGGCGACGAUCAGUAGCCGGCCUGAGAGGGUGGACGGCCACAUUGGGACUGAGACACGGCCCAAACUCCUACGGGAGGCAGCAG
Molecule: ribosomal RNA, 266 nt
Filed under: uncultured bacterium
Lineage: Bacteria
Description: partial 16S ribosomal RNA
Rfam family: Bacterial small subunit ribosomal RNA
Source: RNAcentral